CACCCAGCUAAUUCACCCAGCUGCUCCCUUCGCGAAGCAUCCGCCACUGCAUAGGUCGCCGCCGUCGCGCCGCCGCCUCCUGACCUGCGCCGCACUUCCGCCGUCGCGGCGCAGCUCCGCCGGUACACCCCCCUCCGCCUCCUUCUCCUCCGCCUUCCGCCGCCGCUUCCGCGACCUCCACCUUCAUCCCACCCCGAUGCUGGGCUUCCUCUGCAACGAAGUGCCUCGCACCGACGACGCCUGCUCCGCUCGCUUCGUCCACACCGCGGCCUGGUCCCCGCCCAUCGCUGCCGGACGCGGCUAGCACGCGCUCGACGCCCGCGCCGGACGCGUCCUCCUCCAACGUGACCCCGCCUCGAUGUCUAGGACCUGCUCGCCGGCGGCGACCGCGGCCACAACAACUUGCCCGCCCCGGGCUGCUGCGGCGCACGCGGAGCACGAACGUCGCGCCGCUCUGCGAGGACGGCUCGGACGGGCUCUUCCGCGUCGUCCUCGUGGGCACGGACGCCGAGGGGACCUCCCCUGUGCAGCUCGCCCAAUAGCGCAGCUCCCGCGGGUCACCUGCCCUCGCGUGGCCUCCUGCGCCGCCGCGACUGAUGGUCUGCCCUAAGACAGAUGCAUAGAUCUGCUAUUAUAUUGUGCUACAUUGAUUUUUUGUUUGCGAGGUUCACUAUGUUUGCCUUACAACCUGCGGCCUAAGAUUGUGCAUCCGUAACCUAUCACAUGUUCUUCAAUUAUGGAGAUGAAGAACCCUCGUCUCCCCUUGCAUGUUCGUACAAACCUCCUCCUCUCACCUAUUGCCGCUAUUCCCUCUCUCUGCAAUGGAAUCCGAGGUACCCCUCUCUCCAGGAAAUCCAAUGGUAUUCGAGCAAAAUUUCUUUUUAAGCAUCGAAGGUAUUUUACAGAUCCUCUGCAGCAAGUUUGUUUCCCCCCGCUUAUGUGACUAACUGAAUAAAUACAUAAGUUUUUGGCAUCCCUGACCUCGAUCUGUUAUUACUGCCACUAAAAGAAGAAUGCUAAAUUUCAUUUCCCAGCGAAUGUAAAGGUAUGUUAUGCUUCUAUGACAUUUUCACUAGGUCAGGUAAAUCCAUGAUUGAUUAUGUAGGAGUUGAUCCCUUCUUUCCUAUAAUAGGCACUCUAUCCCAGAGAAUACCUCAUAGAGGAACACUGCUUUCAUAGAGAAAUCUCUGUUUUUCCUAAACUGGUCCUUCAAUUUCUUCUUCUCCUUCUCCUGUUGCAAGCUUCAAGCCUAUACCCCUACGGAAAAGAGAAGCUUGCUGGUUGUGCCAGAUAGCAUUCUUGUCAGUUGUUGGAAGACAAGCAACCUUUCCAAGGUCUUCUCCUCCCAUCCAUUGUGUCUUCCAACACUAUUCCAAUUCUAAAAUUAUGCCAUUUAAUAUCGUUGCUCCUACUCCAUUUUCUUGACUCAGAUGUUCAGUGAACAGAUCUCACCAUAAGUUCCCAUUCUCAAAAGUAAUAUUGAUUCUGUCAGAUACUAUACCCUGCCACACAUUUCCAAGGCCUGAUUACCAUCUCACUGAUAAAUUAAACCUAAACACUCUGUUUUUGCCCUCAUUUUUACAGGCCCAAAACAAGUGUAGCGGGAAGCAAUUGAAAGAGGUGAAAUUACUAUCGGAAUGGUAACUGGUAAUGCCAUUCAACUUCCUGCACUGGAGGUAGCACCACCUAUCUUGGGUUCCUCUCUUAGCUUCAUAGUUGCAGUGCCAAUAUAGGACCUCCUAAACAAACCAUUCCAGCUUCUCAUCUCCGUCUACAUAGCAUCGUUGACUGUUAUUAUAUGGAAAAGGAUCUUGCCUUAAUCUGCUCCCAAUACCGCGCCAAACCAAUAAAAAUGCCUAAUUGGAUAGUAGCUGCACCGGUGUUUCUAGCCAACUAUUUGCCACGACAGAUGCUAAGAGCUAAACGCUUACUUCAGUUCAUACUAACAAACUAAUUGGAUAUGACAUACAAAUAGAGAUUAGGCACAGAGACAUGUUUGCUCCCAAUUCUUGAAAGGGAUGAAUAUAUCAUUGUGACUUAAAUAAGUUAUUACAAGUAAUAAAUUUCUUAUCAAAUUCCUAGCAGAGCUAUUUCUCUAAAUCUUUAAUGAUAAUGUACAUGUCUCUAAAAAAUAAGGCAGUGUUCACUAUUCGUACUAUGUUAUGUGUGUGUUUUUUUGGUCCUCCAAAAGGACCUUGAGAGAUAGUGUCUUCAUGCUGCUUAAGACAUUAUCAGGUACCAAGAGUUACUUUUCUUGAUCCUGUUGUUGCUUGCUCAUGCCUUUUCUUAUUUUCAUGUUUCAUUCUUUGGGUUGGCAUUCCCGUGGGCCAUGCUAAAAGGGCAAAAAAAGAAAUACCAGGCCUAAUACGUAAUCCACCUACACGUUAGCAACCUAUUGUUAUCUAACUUCCACAUUUGAGAUUAUAAAUUAUAUUGAGUUAUAGCCCUGUUACUUUUGAUGAAUUUCACUAUGCACUUAUUGUCUGAAUACAAAAAAUAGAGAGCCUUACAGUGUUGUGCAAUUUUGGCUCUUUUGGGUGACCCAUGUUCGUGUGUGGCAAAGGACAAGGAGCAAGGAUUUAACAGCUUUAACUUUGUAAGCUUUUCCCUCCCUUCUUUUCUGGUAUAUCAUUCUAUUUUUAUAUGCAUACUUCCCCUACGGCUCAAGUAUAAUACAUAUGAACCACGUUACAUGCUAUGCAAUUAUAUUGCUUUUGUGAAAUUUAUGUGGAAAAAUUAUGUUUUGUGAAGGGAAAAAAAAGUGGUCUGAGAUUGAACUUGAGGGGGAUACAUGCAAAAAAAAAAAGCCUCAGGGGCGCUGCCAAACAACUUCUAUAAAAAAAAAGCAUGUCUCUUUCAGUUGAAUUCAAGAAAUGAUAUGCUCCCAGUCUUUAUUGUCAAAACCCAAAAGGAAAAUCAUGUUACUUCCUAGAGCACUAAUAAGUAUGACCUUAUUACAAGUAAGCAUCACACUUAUUCUGUUACCUUUUCCAGAAGCACACCUAAACUGAUGUCCUAUAUUUCUAAAUUUAAAUAGCCUGCAGGAAACCAUGUGUAACAAAUGCUUUACAAAAGCAACUAGAGACUCCAGGAACUUCAUAAUCCAAUUUCCCAGGUACCAACAUAACAUUUCAGUGUAGCAUCUUUGUAACUAUUUGUAGUUCUGUAUUUAAACUUAUAGGUAAAGACAAUUCUCCAUAAAAGCUAUUACAUUCUAGAACACUGGCCAAACGACACACUAUUCUCUAAAAAAAUGCAAAGCUUGAAGAUUGCUCUGGUAUUUUUUUUUUUCACUCCACCAACUGCAGCAGUGCUACGGUUAAAUGGAACUGAACUAAGCAGUCCAACUGAGAAUUCCUGGAUUGGUUUAUGGAAACGUUUGACCCCAAGAAAACAGUGUAUGUCUGAUGUUCGAUAUUGUACCGUUUCUUUGUCUUCUAUGACUAUUGCAUAAUGUAACAAUAAACAUGGCCAGCCAGCUUGAUCAGGGCCUUGAAUUGAGAUGGGAGCAAAUGUGUCAAUUUCAUUCUUAAUCAAUAUUUCUUUGUGCUUUAUGUACCAAAAGUUCUUCAACUCCUGCUGAAGACCCUCUAAAACUAGAGGAAUGCCGCCUUUCUGGGAAGUAUCUUUUAGAAUUGCUAAAGAUAGACUUCAAGCCUAGGGACAUUAUCACCAAGAAGUCAUUGCGGAAUGCAAUGGUUAUUGUCAUGGCUCUUGGUGGGUCAACUAAUGAUGUACUGCAUUUGAUUGCCAUUGCUCGGUUGGUUGUUGCCCAACUCUAUCACAUGUGCUUAUUUUAUUAGUACACCAAAGCUUAUUUGUUACUCAUUAUGAUCUUAAGAUUACAUUUCAACUGUGUAGAAGCAUUUAUGCAAAUGAAAAAAGCUGAUUAACUUGCUACUGAUGCUGCAGGGGAAAAAAUAAUUUGAUUCCAGCUACAACAUCUCCAUCUUCGUAAGAAAACAGAACCGGAGGACUACUUCCCGUGCGAACAAGCAAACUCCAUACACUUAAUCUUCUUAAUCUUACCUUUUUGGAAUUAACGUCAUAUACUCCUAUGUAUCCAUCUUCCAAUAACAAAAGGAAACUUUAUGCUCCGUAUGCUUUGGUUGCUUUAAUAGAUUAAUUUCUUUGGCGCAGAAAACAGAACCAGAGGACUCCUUCCCGUGCAAACAAGCAAACUCCAUACACUUAAUCUUCUUAAUCUUGCCUUUCUUGAAUUAACGUCAUAUACUCCUAUGUAUCCAUCUUCCAAUAACAAAAGGAAACUUUAUGGUCAUAUACUCCUAUGUAUCCAUCUUCCAAUAACAAAAGGAAACUUUAUGCUCCGUA
Molecule: long non-coding RNA, 4332 nt
Organism: Panicum virgatum (switchgrass)
Lineage: Eukaryota; Viridiplantae; Streptophyta; Magnoliopsida; Poales; Poaceae
Exons: 3
Source: RefSeq, a predicted model, not a curated record